Molecule: ribosomal RNA, 484 nt
Filed under: uncultured bacterium
Lineage: Bacteria
Description: partial 16S ribosomal RNA
Rfam family: Bacterial small subunit ribosomal RNA
Source: RNAcentral
AUUGAACGCUGGCGGCAGGCCUAACACAUGCAAGUCGAGCGGAUGAAGGGAGCUUGCUCCUGGAUUCAGCGGCGGACGGGUGAGUAAUGCCUAGGAAUCUGCCUGGUAGUGGGGGAUAACGUCCGGAAACGGGCGCUAAUACCGCAUACGUCCUGAGGGCGACAGUGGGGGAUCUUCGGACCUCACGCUAUCAGAUGAGCCUAGGUCGGAUUAGCUAGUUGGUGGGGUAAAGGCCUACCAAGGCGACGAUCCGUAACUGGUCUGAGAGGAUGAUCAGGCAGACGGGAACAGAGACACGGUCCAGACACCUACGGGAGGAAGCAGUGGGGAAUAUUGGGCAAUGGGCGAAAGCCGGAUCCAGCCAUGCCGCGUGUGGGAAGAAGGUCUUCGGAUUGUAAAGCACUGUAAGUUGGAGGGAAGGGCAGUUAGUUAAUACCUGGCUGUAUUGACGGUACCAACAGAAUAAGCACCGGCUAACUUCGUG